RNAcentral lists this ribosomal RNA (492 nucleotides) under uncultured bacterium. RNAcentral describes it as "partial 16S ribosomal RNA". It matches the Rfam family "Bacterial small subunit ribosomal RNA", at positions 30 to 507 of the family's 1533-position model. The record is from RNAcentral.
AUUGAACGCUGGCGGCAUGCUUUACACAUGCAAGUCGAACGGUAACAGGCCUUCGGGUGCUGCCGAGUGGCGAACGGGUGCGUAAUGCAUCGGAACGUGCCCAGAGGUGGGGGAUAACGCAGCGAAAGCUGUGCUAAUACCGCAUGUGAUCUGAGGAUGAAAGCGGGGGACCAAGCAGCAAUGUUUGGCCUCGCGCCUCUGGAGCGGCCGAUGUCAGAUUAGGUAGUUGGUGGGGUAAAGGCCUACCAAGCCGACGAUCUGUAGCUGGUCUGAGAGGACGACCAGCCACACUGGGACUGAGACACGGCCCAGACUCCUACGGGAGGCAGCAGUGGGGAAUUUUGGACAAUGGGCGCAAGCCUGAUCCAGCAAUGCCGCGUGCGGGAAGAAGGCCUUCGGGUUGUAAACCGCUUUUGUACGGAACGAAAAGGCUCUGGCUAAUACCUGGGGCUGAUGACGGUACCGUAAGAAUAAGCACCGGCUAACUACGUG